Molecule: long non-coding RNA, 287 nt
Filed under: Lathyrus oleraceus (garden pea)
Lineage: Eukaryota; Viridiplantae; Streptophyta; Magnoliopsida; Fabales; Fabaceae
Description: Pisum sativum (pea) long non-coding RNA (PSAT_LNC040378)
Source: RNAcentral
UUCUAUAUCUCAUUUCCUAAUACUUUUAAUCAAACUUACUUCAUUUAUUUAACUUAGACAAUCAAUUUUCAUGUUAAAGAAAAAAGGAGAUUUAAACUAUUAUGACAAAAAUUUGCUACAAAGAGAAACUAACCAUAAACCAUGUAAAGAACUCCAAUAUAUAAAAUUAAAAGAUAAUCCAUUUGAGAGUAUAUAGAAUCAAUAUAUUAUAACUUUAUCAAAAAAAUCUAUUCAAUACAAUGAUACGUUAAUUAGGUUGAUGUUAGUUUAUAUAUGUUCAUAGCAUA